This 76-nucleotide transfer RNA is filed under the name Candidatus Parcubacteria bacterium. RNAcentral's name for it is "tRNA-Ala". It matches the Rfam family "tRNA". From Rfam's summary of the family: Transfer RNA (tRNA) molecules are approximately 80 nucleotides in length. Their secondary structure includes four short double-helical elements and three loops (D, anti-codon, and T loops). Further hydrogen bonds mediate the characteristic L-shaped molecular structure. tRNAs have two regions of fundamental functional importance: the anti-codon, which is responsible for specific mRNA codon recognition, and the 3' end, to which the tRNAs corresponding amino acid is attached (by aminoacyl-tRNA synthetases). tRNAs cope with the degeneracy of the genetic code in two manners: having more than one tRNA (with a specific anti-codon) for a particular amino acid; and 'wobble' base-pairing, i.e. permitting non-standard base-pairing at the 3rd anti-codon position. Lineage: Bacteria; Candidatus Parcubacteria. The record is from RNAcentral.
GGGCCCGUAGUUCAGUUGGUAGAACGCCCGCCUUGCACGCGGGAGGUCAGCGGUUCGAAUCCGCUCGGGUCCACCA